UUCAGACAACACUUUCCUUUUCUUAUCUGCGGCUGCAAAUGGGGUUUGAACUGGAGUUAUGGUUUGGUUGAUUAAUGGAAGAUUCUGAAGGAGAUGUUGUCGAAAUUAAGAAGAUUAGGUCAUGGAUUCAAGUUGUUAUUUCCGUGAAAGAACAAGGAAUACUGGAAUGGGGGUUUUUGAGAAGAAUUAGGGUUCUUGACUCUGAUUGAUUGAUGCGGUGAAAGAAUGGUGGAUUGAAGAGGUGAUUAGAGAUCUUGUUUGAUCAGGAGAAGUGGGUCAUCUCAGAUUUGAAGCGUCCACCAUGAGUUUGAGAAGGGAAGAAGAUGAAGAAGGUGGAGAUACUGUCAGUGAAAUUGCUGAGAAGAUGGGUUGAUUCAUGGCUGCAAACUGAGAAUUAGAAGAUAAGAAAGCCGGGGUUUAGGCUGUUUUUCGAUUUUAUGGAGUAUUGAGGUCGAAUUCAGAAGAAUAAGAAAUUAAGGUUCCUUUCAUAUGUUCUUCCCCAAAUUCAUUCUACUGCCAUUUGAUUUGAAGCUGAAAGAAGAAAGAAUGGGUGUUGCCGUUCAAAUUGCAGGUGAACUUAAGCUGCAACUGAUGGUGAGUUGCUGCUGUAAGUCGUGAAGCAGAUGAAGAAGGAAUUUGAUCUCAGAUGAAUGGUGCUGCUUUGAGGUAGAUGGUUGAGCUACAGGGAAUGUUGGUGUUGGUUGCAGUAGUAUGUCUGAUGCUGACUUGCAGGUAGUUAAGCUGUGAUAUCAAGGUUGGUGGUACUGAGACUGGUUUAAUUCGUGAGAAGAUGAGUGAUCUACUGUGAAGUGAUCUAAAAAGAUAAAUUGCAGGAAAGGAUGGAAUGUAAAAUUGCAGAGAUGGCAUGGUGGUUAUAUUAUGCAGUGAAACUGGUGCUGUUGUUGCUCAUGGAAUUGCGACGAAGAGCAAGAUGAGUUGGUGGAAUUGAAGGCAUGUGAGCAGAUGAGCAAUGGAGUCAAGAAUCUACAGCUGCAGGUUGGUUUUCCACCAAUUGGUGGUGGUCUUGAUGAAAUUGCAAACUGGUUGUGCUGUUGUUGCAAAUGAGCUGAGCUGCAGGUGCAUUGGCAGUCAAGAAGCUAAAGUUGCAGGUGAUGUUGCAGGGAUUUGGUCUAGAAGCUGGGACUUGGUGAUUCAUGGAGAUUGUGAGCUGUAGUCGCAGCUUUGUGUGUGAUGAAGAGGAUGCAAUGCAAUUGCAGUUGGUGGUAAUGAAUUGCUACAGUUUCAUAUGGUGUUGCUCUUGUUGAAUUGAGAUGGAUAUUGCAGGUCCAAUUGAAGAUCUGAGCCUGAGAUGGAGCAUUGGAGAUGUUGGUGCAGCUGCAGUUGGUUGCGUUGAGGAGUUUAGGGCAUGACUUAGAAUUGGCAGGUGCAACUGGCAUUGUGGUGGAAUUGACUGAAAUGAAAAUGGGUUUACAAGUGUAGCAGUUGGGAAUGGAGCAGGUGAAGUGCAGUGACCAGUGAUGGUUGAGGUAAACAGAAGGAGGGUGUUGGUUGUGAAACUGUUAACAGGUAUGAACAGGUGAAGGCUUAAGUAAUUGGCAUUAAAUGAAUGUAUGAAGUUUAUGCAGAAGAUGGGUUCGCAGUGGUUUGUGCUCAAAGUGGUGAUUCCAAUACAAUUGAAAUGGUGAGAUGAAUUGGUCCUGGAAGUGAUGAUGUUGUAUGUUGAUUGCACAGAGAAUGGAGAAUUAAGCUACAACUCAAAUUGUAGCAGGAUAUGGCCUGAGGUGACACUGCAGGUGGUAUUUGAGCUUUAAGCUGUGUGUGUUGUUACAGUGCUGAGUUUGUGUAAGAGAUGGCUAGGUGCAAUUGGAGUUGAGGCAGGUGGAAGGUAGUGAUGCUGAGAUUGUAGAAUAGCAGCUGGAAUUGAAGUUGCAGGGAGUGGGAGCGAUUUUGCUCCAUCACGGCCUGAGAUGGAGUUGUAAUGCACCAUGAUGGUGCUGCAUUGAGUCUGGCCUGCGCAAAUGGCCUAGGCCUAAGUGAUUCAGCCUAGUCAGAUGCUGACUCAUUCAUUUACCUGGCUGACUGUCUGGCUCACCUGACUCGGUAUGACUCACUGAGUUUGACCGAGCUAUCCCAGAUGACCCGACCGAGUUGACUCGUUGACCGGGUACCGGGUGGACUUUGUCGGUUACCUGAGACACUUUGCCGGUUACUUCUCCGACCAUUCUACAGCCGAUUUUCGGCCAUUUUACCAAUUUGCCGGCGAUUAUUUUUAGGACAUAUUUUCACAUAGGUAUUCCUCACAUAUGGGCUUGGUGGACAUCUUAUUAUUGGACUUUGGGCUUUGAAGACCUAAUUUUGGAAAGAGGCAAGGCUACAAAAGGGAAAGUUUUCUAAACUUUAAUCACGUAUUUUUCUAUUUGGAACUUUGGAAAGCGGCGAUUCUACUAGGGUUUGCUUUCGUUUAUUUUUCAUCUUCUUCGAUUUAUUUUUGAUUAUGAUGAACUCAAAGGAUAUGAGUAACUAAACACAUAUUAUUGGUUAUGGGAUAAAGUUGAUUUCCAACAUGUUAUUUGACUCAAUAAAUUAGUUUUGUCUCAA
Papaver somniferum (opium poppy) is the source of this 2559-nucleotide long non-coding RNA. RefSeq lists it as uncharacterized. NCBI's taxonomy places the organism in Eukaryota, Viridiplantae, Streptophyta, Magnoliopsida, Ranunculales, Papaveraceae. The record is from RefSeq and is a predicted model, not a curated record. The transcript is spliced from 2 exons.